This 26-nucleotide non-coding RNA is filed under the name Cricetulus griseus (Chinese hamster). The record is from RNAcentral. Lineage: Eukaryota; Metazoa; Chordata; Mammalia; Rodentia; Cricetidae.
UCGGACCUCAAGUGGCUGAAGGAGAG